GUAAUCCUCCCACACCCCGUCUUUCCAGUUUCCACCUCCCACAGAAAUCCCAAUCUGCGCCGCCACCAAAGCCUAUCCCCCGCGGCAGUUCUCGGCCCGGCUCUGCCCUCCGGCGCCAACUCCACCCUCGGCCGGCGACUUCCCAUUCUCCUAUGUCGGCAUCCUCGCUGGUCGGAGCCUCGCCGGCCGUCGGCGUACUCCCCGUUGCCACGCCGCGCCCCUCCCAACUCUCAUCACCACACCGUCCCGCAAGAUGGGAUCCGCCAUGUCAAGAAGAACUGAUCCUGAUGCAUCAGAUCUCAUGAAGUAAAUCUCGAUGGUGGGGGAGAAGGAGCGAAUACAUUAAUCAGGUGCAGGUUGGAAUGACUGGCCAUUAAGUAGACUACUUUUACUCUCUGUGGGAGAGUUCCAGUUUAAGUUGCAAUUCCAACAUGAUUUGCACGUUCAUUGUUUGAUGAUGUAUAGUUUUAGCUUCCAGAAACUAGCAUCACUUUCUCCUAGUACUUACGAAGCAAAAUGACAUAUCUAUGUGGGUUUUUAGUUUAUAGGUUCUGGCUUCACAUGACUUCGUGAGACUGACAAGGCAUAUUUUUUGGUCCACCACUAAUGGCUAGUGCGAUUAUUUUCAUGGAUUUUUGCUUACUUUAGCUCGGUAGAUGCUCAGUAUUUGUCUUACUUGUACCAUUUUGCGAAGUGUUUAUGCAUCUUAAUUAGGCAUGAGUAAGAUCAGAACAAGCCAAGUUAUGUACAUUUUGAAAAAGAUCCAAACUAGAUAUAGUUUUCCGCUCAGUUUGAUCCAGUACACCUGGUCAAGCAAAUUGUGGUUCGCCAACCUAUCUGAUAUAGCCUUGAAACAUUCUGUUUUUACACAAGUCAGCUAGGGCAUAGGGAAUGCAUGUUAGUAUCUGACAAUGGAGGAUGCGACUCACUGUUGAGUCAACAAAUUGACCAGAUCAACGCCCUGUUACACACAGCUGCCCUAUACCUAACCCCGCGAUGUUGAAGGAGGUAGCGGAGGUGCAGCCGUGUGUCCAUCCUCUCCCAUGGAAGGCACCUGGUACAGUGGUACCCCAUGAUCCUCCUUUCAGUUGAUUUUUUAUUGUCAAUUUGUGUUUUCGCCCAAACAUUUUUUUCCUUCUUCAAUAAGUACAACUCCCAUGAGCAAUUGAUCAGAGCUUUAAUUUCGGGUGUUGGUUGAGUUUACCUUGUUAUGUAUCAGAAUUAAUGAUGGGAUUCAUGUUUUUGUACAUAUCACGGAGGAUCUAGUAUGAUAAUAUUAAUACUUCUACAUAGUAUUACCUCACCUUCCAUACCAUUGUACACUUGUUUUGUGCUACUAUCCAAUGGGGGCACGUUUAUUUUGUUGCCAUGUCACAUAAGAGUAUAAUAUACUUAUGAUAUAUCCGAGAGUGUAUAUAAAGACUAGAUUUUGUAGUAUGUUAAGGUGAUCAAAGUUUCUCUGUGUUACCUUUAUACAUGACAACAGAUUAUAAUGCUGCCAAAUUUAUGUGGGCUAUAACCAAACAAAACACUGUAAUUUCGUUCUGACAACAGUUUAGCUGGUCAAUUUUAUACAGAUUGUAAUAAUAUCAAACUGAUGUGGGCUUUAACCAAACCACAUACAUUUUUUUUCUGUCCGCACAUUAACUGGUCAUUUUUAUACAGAUUAUAAUAUUGUCAAAUUGACGUGGGCUAUAACCAAACAUCACUGUGAUUUUUUUCUUUCAGCAAACAGCCAGUAAGUUUUUUAUUGCAUUGACACUAUCAUAAGAGACAAUGUUUUCUUACUGUUUGCAGAUAUUUGAGGAUUUAACAUUAUGGAAAUGUUCAGCAGAUGAUCUUUUGCAGGUGAAAAGAAUAUAUAUUUAUAAGGAGCAAUCAAUGUGGGACCAAUACAAGGAUUUAGAGGACAAAACUAAUUAUAUGGACAGAUUAUAACAGGUUUUAUAACGGAAAUAAUCUUGAAACGUGCAAGGGAAAUCUUCACAUUUUUCUAGAAGUCAUUUCCAUAAAAGCUGCGAAAGCCGUCAAGCUGAUGUACCAAACUAGCUAUAGAAUUUUUAGAUAGAUUUCCACUGAGAAUUUCCAGUUUUUUCUCAAAUUGGCUUCAACUUUUAGAUAGUUAGAAUUAGAAUUAGAAGUUUAUUUUCUAGUGAACACAUUAUUGUAUGAACGUGCAGUUCACUGGUAAAGUAUCAAUACCCUUUGUAAUAAAAAUAGUUGUAAUGGCUUGCACAUUGCUACUUGUUUUGUUGUGUUGAUUAUGAUAAACCUUUUCAGUUAA
Molecule: RNA transcript, 2284 nt
Organism: Triticum aestivum (bread wheat)
Lineage: Eukaryota; Viridiplantae; Streptophyta; Magnoliopsida; Poales; Poaceae
Exons: 4
Source: RefSeq, a predicted model, not a curated record